Molecule: transfer RNA, 89 nt
Filed under: Acidobacteriota bacterium
Lineage: Bacteria; Pseudomonadati; Acidobacteriota
Description: tRNA-Leu
Rfam family: tRNA
About the family: Transfer RNA (tRNA) molecules are approximately 80 nucleotides in length.
Source: RNAcentral
GCUGGAGUGGCGUAACGGCAAACGCGCAGGUCUGAGAUGCCUGUGAGCACACGGCUCAAAUGCGGGUUCAAGUCCCGCCUCCAGUACCA